This 377-nucleotide ribosomal RNA is filed under the name uncultured bacterium. RNAcentral describes it as "bacterial SSU rRNA". It matches the Rfam family "Bacterial small subunit ribosomal RNA", at positions 523 to 898 of the family's 1533-position model. The record is from RNAcentral.
AAACGUAGGGGGCGAGCGUUGUCCGGAAUUAUUGGGCGUAAAGGGCGUGUAGGCGGCUCGUGAAGUCAGGAGUGAAAACCCGGGGCUCAACCCCGGGCGUGCUUUUGAAACCAGCGGGCUUGAGUGCAGGAGAGGGAAGUGGAAUUCCCAGUGUAGCGGUGAAAUGCGUAGAUAUUGGGAGGAACACCAGUGGCGAAAGCGGCUUCCUGGCCUGUAACUGACGCUGAGGCGCGAAAGCGUGGGGAGCAAACAGGAUUAGAUACCCUGGUAGUCCACGCCGUAAACGAUGGGUGCUAAGUGUUGGGGGUAUCGACCCCCUCAGUGCUGUAGUUAACGCAAUAAGCACCCCGCCUGGGGAGUACGUUCGCAAGAAUGAA